GACGAACGCUGGCGGCGUGCUUAACACAUGCAAGUCGAACGGAAAGGCCCUGCUUUUGUGGGGUGCUCGAGUGGCGCACGGGUGAGUAACACGUGAGUAACCUGCCCUUUACUUUGGGAUAACUUCAGGCAACCGCUGCUACCACCGGCUACCAGCUCCUGCUGCAUGGUGGGCGUUGGAACGUUUCGGUGGUGGGGGAUGGACUCGCGGCUUAUCAGCUUGUUGGUGGGGUAGUGGCUUACCCAGGCUUUGACGGGUAGCCGGCCUGAGAGGGUGACCGGGCACAUGGGGACUGAGAUACGGCCCAGAGUCGUACGGGAGGCAGCAGUGGGGAAUAUGGCACAAUGGGCGGAAGCGUGAUGCAGCAACGCCGCGUGCGGGAUGACGGCCUUCGGGUGGUAAACCGCUGUCGCCUGUGACGAAGCGGGAGUGACGGUAAUGGGUAAAGAAGCACCGGCUAACUACGUG
RNAcentral lists this ribosomal RNA (468 nucleotides) under uncultured bacterium. RNAcentral describes it as "partial 16S ribosomal RNA". It matches the Rfam family "Bacterial small subunit ribosomal RNA", at positions 28 to 507 of the family's 1533-position model. The record is from RNAcentral.